UACGGGGGGGGCAAGCGUUGUUCGGAAUUACUGGGCGUAAAGGGCUCGUAGGCGGCCAACUAAGUCAGACGUGAAAUCCCUCGGCUUAACCGGGGAACUGCGUCUGAUACUGGUUGGCUUGAAUCCGGGAGAGGGAUGUGGAAUUCCAGGUGUAGCGGUGAAAUGCGUAGAUAUCUGGAGGAACACCGGUGGCGAAGGCGGCUCACUGGUCCGGUACUGACGCUGAGGUGCGAAAGCGUGGGGAGCAAACAGG
RNAcentral lists this ribosomal RNA (253 nucleotides) under uncultured bacterium. RNAcentral describes it as "partial 16S ribosomal RNA". It matches the Rfam family "Bacterial small subunit ribosomal RNA", at positions 524 to 776 of the family's 1533-position model. The record is from RNAcentral.